RNAcentral lists this ribosomal RNA (301 nucleotides) under uncultured bacterium. RNAcentral's name for it is "partial 16S ribosomal RNA". It matches the Rfam family "Bacterial small subunit ribosomal RNA", at positions 509 to 809 of the family's 1533-position model. The record is from RNAcentral.
CAGUCGCCGCGGUAAUACAGAGGGUGCGAGCGUUAAUCGGAUUUACUGGGCGUAAAGCGUGCGUAGGUGGUGGUUUAAGUCCGUUGUGAAAGCCCUGGGCUCAACCUGGGAAUUGCAGUGGAUACUGGGUCACUAGAGUGUGGUAGAGGAUAGUGGAAUUUCCGGUGUAGCAGUGAAAUGCGUAGAGAUCGGAAGGAACAUCUGUGGCGAAGGCGACUAUCUGGGCCAACACUGACACUGAGGCACGAAAGCGUGGGGAGCAAACAGGAUUAGAUACCCGGGUAGUCCCUGUCUCUUAUAA